Molecule: ribosomal RNA, 289 nt
Filed under: uncultured Endozoicomonas sp.
Lineage: Bacteria; Pseudomonadati; Pseudomonadota; Gammaproteobacteria; Oceanospirillales; Endozoicomonadaceae
Description: partial 16S ribosomal RNA
Rfam family: Bacterial small subunit ribosomal RNA
Source: RNAcentral
CGAGCGCACCCUUGUCCUCAGUUACCAGCACGUUAUGGUGGGCACUCUGGGGAGACUGCCGGUGACAAACCGGAGGAAGGUGGGGACGACGUCAAGUCAUCAUGGCCCUUACGGCCAGGGCUACACACGUGCUACAAUGGUGCAUACAGACGGUUGCCAAGCCGCAAGGUGGAGCUAAUCUGAGAAAGUGCAUCGUAGUCCGGAUUGGGGUCUGCAACUCGACCCCAUGAAGUCGGAAUCGCUAGUAAUCGUGAAUCCGAAUGUCACGGUGAAUACGUUCCCGGGCCUU